UGCCUAAUGCAUGCAAGUCGCACGCUCGCACUUCGGUGCGGGAGUGGCGAACGGCUGAGGAACACGUGGGGACCUGUCCGUCAGUGGGGGACAACCCGGCGAAAGCCGGGCUAAUCCCGCAUACGCUCUGCGGAGGAAAGCAGCAAUGCGCUGACGGGUGGCCCUGCGGCCCAUCAGGUAGUUGGCGGGGUAACGGCCCACCAAGCCAAUGACGGGUCGCUGGUCUGUGAGGACGACCAGCCAGACUGGGACUGCGACACGGCCCAGACUCCUACGGGAGGCAGCAGCAAGGAAUUUUCGGCAAUGGGCGCAAGCCUGACCGAGCAACGCCGCGUGCAGGAUGACGGCCUUCGGGUUGUAAACUGCUUUUACCAGGGACGAUACAGACGGUACCUGGCGAACAAGCCCCGGCUAACUCUGUGCCAGCAGCCGCGGUAAUACAGAGGGGGCAAGCGUUGUCCGGACUUACUGGGCGUAAAGGGCACGUAGGUGGCGCGCCAAGACCUGUGUGAAAUCGGACGGCUUAACCGUGCGGCGCCACAGGUGACUGGUGGGCUCGAGGCAUGCAGAGGCUGGUGGAAUUGCCGGUGUAGUGGUGAAAUGCGUAGAGAUCGGCAGGAACACCAAGGGGGAACCCAGCCAGCUGGGCAUGACCUGACACUGAGGUGCGACAGCGUGGGGAGCGA
RNAcentral lists this ribosomal RNA (686 nucleotides) under uncultured Chloroflexus sp. RNAcentral's name for it is "bacterial SSU rRNA". It matches the Rfam family "Bacterial small subunit ribosomal RNA", at positions 45 to 771 of the family's 1533-position model. The record is from RNAcentral. Lineage: Bacteria; Bacillati; Chloroflexota; Chloroflexia; Chloroflexales; Chloroflexaceae.